This 808-nucleotide non-coding RNA is filed under the name Chrysis westerlundi. Lineage: Eukaryota; Metazoa; Arthropoda; Insecta; Hymenoptera; Chrysididae. The record is from RNAcentral.
AUAAAAUUGUUAUAAAUUAAUUUUAAUAUAAUAAUAAAAAAUUUAAUUAUGGUUUUAAAAUUAAUUUAAAAAUUUAUUUAUAUAUAAUUUGAUGAAAAAUACUAUUAAUUAAAUAUUAAAGUAUUGUGAUUUAGUAUUUAGUAUUAAAGAAUUUAAUAAAUUAAAUUUUAGAAAUUUUUAUAAUUUAGAUUAAUAAUUGUGCCAGCAAUCGUGGUUAGACAAUUUAGAUAAAUUAAUUAUUGUAAAUUUAAAUAAAUAGUAAUUUAAAUAUUAAAAAUUAAAUUUAUUAGGUGAAAUUAAUUAAAUUUAAUUAUAGAUAUAUUUAUUAAAUAUAUGAAUUUUAGAAAAUUUUAAUAAAACUAGGAUUAGAUACCCUAUUAUAAAAUUUAAAAAAUAAGUUUGAGUAUUAAAUGAUUAAUCAUUAAAUUUAAAUAAUUUGGCGGUAUUUUAAUUUUAUUAGAGGAACUUGUUUAAUAAUUGAUAAUCCACGAUAGGUAGAACUUUAAUUUAAAUUUUUAUAUUGUUGUUUUAAGGAUAUUUUUGGAGGAUAUAUAUUCAUUAUAUUAAUAAAAAUAAUAAUUCAGAUCAAAAUGGAGUGAAUAUUAAAGAAAAAAAUGAGUUACAAUAAAUUUAAUUUAUUAUGAAUUUAUAAUUAAAAAAUUAUAAUGAAGGUGGAUUUAAAAGUAAAAUUAAAUAAUUAUUUUAUUUGAUUAAAAUUUUAAAAUAUGUACAAAUUGCCCGUCGUUCCCUUUGAAAGAAGGGGUAAGUCGUAACAAAGUAAAAGUACUGGAAAGUGUUUUUAGAAGAA